UACCUACGGGAGGCAGCAGUGGGGAAUAUUGAACAAUGGGGGAAACCCUGAUGCAGCGACGCCGCGUGAGUGAAGAAGUAUUUCGGUACGUAAAGCUCUAUCAGCAGGGAAGAAAAAAAGUCCUUUGGACUUUGGACGGUACCUGACUAAGAAGCCCCGGCUAACUACGUGCCAGCAGCCGCGGUAAUACGUAGGGGGCAAGCGUUAUCCGGAUUUACUGGUUGUAAAGGGAGCGUAGACGGCAGCGCAAGUCUGGAGUGAAAUGCCGGGGCCCAACCCCGGAACUGCUUUGGAAACUGUGCAGC
Molecule: ribosomal RNA, 305 nt
Filed under: uncultured bacterium
Lineage: Bacteria
Description: bacterial SSU rRNA
Rfam family: Bacterial small subunit ribosomal RNA
Source: RNAcentral